UUUCGACACACUAUCAUUAACUGAAUCCAUAGGUUAAUGAGGCGAACCGGGGGAACUGAAACAUCUAAGUACCUGAAGGAAGAGAAAGAAAUUCGAUUCCGUAAGUAGCGGCGAGCGAACGCGGAUUAGCCCAAACCAAUAAAGUUUUCUUUAUUGGGGUUGCGGACAUAUCAUAACGAAGAGGUAUCGUAAUUGCAGAGGUUUGGAAAGACCCACCACAGAAGGUAAUAGUCCUGUAUGUUAAACGAGAAGACUUCAGAUAUGAUCCAGAGUACCACGGGACACGUGAAACCCUGUGGGAAGCAGGAGGGACCACCCUCCAAGGCUAAAUACUACCUAGUGACCGAUAGCGUAUAGUACCGUGAGGGAAAGGUGAAAAGAACCCCGGGAGGGGAGUGAAAUAGAACCUGAAACCCUGCACUUACAAGCUGUGGAAGCACAUUUCUUGUGUGACCGCGUACUUUUUGUAGAACGGGCCAACGAGUUACGUUAAGUAGCAAGGUUAAGCACUUAAGGUGCGGAGCCGUAGCGAAAGCGAGUUUUAACUGAGCGUUCAGUUAUUUGACGUAGAC
This 572-nucleotide ribosomal RNA is filed under the name Acinetobacter baumannii. Its description in RNAcentral is "partial 23S ribosomal RNA". It matches the Rfam family "Bacterial large subunit ribosomal RNA", at positions 138 to 714 of the family's 2925-position model. Lineage: Bacteria; Pseudomonadati; Pseudomonadota; Gammaproteobacteria; Moraxellales; Moraxellaceae. The record is from RNAcentral.